RNAcentral lists this ribosomal RNA (468 nucleotides) under uncultured bacterium. Its description in RNAcentral is "partial 16S ribosomal RNA". It matches the Rfam family "Bacterial small subunit ribosomal RNA", at positions 28 to 507 of the family's 1533-position model. The record is from RNAcentral.
GACGAACGCUGGCGGCGUGCUUAACACAUGCAAGUCGAACGGAAAGGCCCUGCUUUUGUGGGGUGCUCGAGUGGCGAACGGGUGAGUAACACGUGAGUAACCUGCCCUUGACUUUGGGAUAACUUCAGGAAACUGGGGCUAAUACCGGAUAGGAGCUCCUGCUGCAUGGUGGGGGUUGGAAAGUUUCGGCGGUUGGGGAUGGACUCGCGGCUUAUCAGAUUGUUGGUCGGGUAUUGGCUUACCAAGGCUUUGACGGGUAGCCGGCCUGAGAGGGUGACCGGCAACAUUGGGACUGAGAUACGGCCCAGACUCCUACGGGAGGCAGCAGUGGGGAAUAUUGCACAAUGGGCGGAAGCCUGAUGCAGCAACGCCGCGUGCGGGAUGACGGCCUUCGGGUUGUAAACCGCUUUCGCCUGUGACGAAGCGUGAGUGACGGUAAUGGGUAAAGAAGCACCGGCUAACUACGUG